RNAcentral lists this long non-coding RNA (312 nucleotides) under Ananas comosus (pineapple). Its description in RNAcentral is "long non-coding RNA (ACOM_LNC027606)". The record is from RNAcentral. Lineage: Eukaryota; Viridiplantae; Streptophyta; Magnoliopsida; Poales; Bromeliaceae.
UUUAAAAUUAUAUAUAAUUUUACUUGUUUGUUAUAUUAUAUAAUUGAAAUUAUAUUUUUAUAUCUAUAUUUAUAAUUAUAUCUUUAUAUAUUAAUUUUAUCACUAUUCUCAAACAUUGAAAUAUUUAUUAAAUAUUUCAUAAAAUAUUUAAGGGUAAAAUUACCAUUCAACGUAAAUUUUAUCAGUCCAGUAAUCUUAUUCUCACAUAAGCAUCCAAACACUAUCGAAAAUAUCCUCCGUGAACAAAUAAUUAAUAUUCAAACGUAAAUUUAUAGUUAUUCUAACUUAUAUCAAAAUAUUCUCUAUUCUUGG